UAAACUCUAUGAGUGCAGAGACCAUUGUUUAUCUUGUACUCCAUGUGGCUAGCAUGGAAGAGGAAUUCGGGAAGCAUUUGUUGAAUAAAAAAAUAAUCUCCUACGUUGGUGGCCUCCUGGCUUCAGGAAUUGUGGUUCAGGCAUGGAGCCCAAAGGGCAAUGGGUUCCAGAGCUCAAAUGCAUGGCA
This 187-nucleotide long non-coding RNA is filed under the name Ictidomys tridecemlineatus (thirteen-lined ground squirrel). RNAcentral's name for it is "lncRNA (ENSSTOG00000030228.1)". Lineage: Eukaryota; Metazoa; Chordata; Mammalia; Rodentia; Sciuridae. The record is from RNAcentral.